CAACAAGCUUUGACGAGGAAAAGUAUUCCGUCCCGUAUCCUUUCAGAGAGCUGACGGCAGGUGCGAGUCAGCAGGAACACCGGAAGAAAAUCACCUCUGAGCUUUCAGACUGAACAGCUUUACCAGUAAGACUGAACGGUUAACAGCCGUUAUCCUGUUACACAUUGACAGAUGUGGACGAGUGGCCGUUUAACGGCAACAAGAGUGGUACCGCAGAGGAUUAUAACCUUUGUCUCUUAA
RNAcentral lists this non-coding RNA (240 nucleotides) under [Clostridium] symbiosum. RNAcentral's name for it is "Clostridium symbiosum T-box sequence". It matches the Rfam family "T-box leader". Rfam says of the family: Uncharged tRNA acts as the effector for transcription antitermination of genes in the T-box leader family. T-boxes are found upstream of many aminoacyl-tRNA synthetase genes and some amino acid biosynthetic genes usually in Gram-positive bacteria. Lineage: Bacteria; Bacillati; Bacillota; Clostridia; Lachnospirales; Lachnospiraceae. The record is from RNAcentral.